Rosa chinensis is the source of this 679-nucleotide long non-coding RNA. RefSeq lists it as uncharacterized. Lineage: Eukaryota; Viridiplantae; Streptophyta; Magnoliopsida; Rosales; Rosaceae. The transcript is spliced from 3 exons. The record is from RefSeq and is a predicted model, not a curated record.
UGCAGGCACUAUGUAGCUUUACAGAAAACCUACCAAGCCAAGGCUGAGGCUGAUUUUCUAGUAUUGACCAAAGGGUUAGGACUCUUCUAAAGAGAAUUAGUAGAGAUCCUAGUAGCAACUCAAAGGCAACUGUUAUAAGUUUCUGCAAGAAUGCUAGAAAACUCAAAGUAGAUUUCCAAGGACUGUCUUCUUGAUGCUCUCUUUGGCUGCUCAGAUGGGCUACAUGCACUUUGGCACAGUCAAGAUAUAUGGUUCUGAGGCUGCCCUUAUAAACACUUUAACAGAGACGUACGUUUCAAGAUGGGACUAUAAAAAAGAGGACAUUUUUGUUUCCUCUAAAUUAUGGGGUAGUCAUCACCGUGACCCUAUUUCAGCUUUGAGACAAACUCUAGAGUAAGCACAUAUACUAGAUUACUAUACCUACUAGCAACAAAUUCAUUUCUUAAUCUACUAGAAUUAGAUAUGGAAGAAUUCGAUUAUUUGGUUUAGGAUUAUUGGUCUCAAUAAACCUUUUCAUUGUUCCCCACAUUUUUAUGUAAAUAUUGAGUCUUUAGCUUCAUUUUGAUAUUGGCUUUUGCUAUUACUAUGUUUGUCUCACUUUCUGCAAUCAAGUUUAUGUUUUUGCUGUUAAGGUUUGGAAUUCUCAACAGUAUAUGUUAUGGGUUGGCAUCAAGUUUGG